GCCAGCUCCAUCAACAACAGAGGUCCACCAGAAAGGGAAAGCUCAUGGGAGACAAGAAGCACAAGCCUAGACUUCAUGAAACUGAGUGGGCUCUGAGUGACAGCUACCCCAAUCGGUUUAGUUAAUUCCGGAGAAGCGUUAUACCGCUUCUGAUUAGUCGCAUAUAAGCGGCAAUCACAGGAGGACUCAAGGCUAGCUCUGACGAUAAAAGCAAUGGCAGUGGUAACUGAAACCAUCACAAGGAGCGCUACAACAGUCAGCCAGCGUUUUCGAAACAGAGCCAUCGCCACGGAAGAAUGCUUCGCCAUGUCCAACACUAGGGCUUGUGAGAGUGCAAAAGUGGAUCUGUGUCACCUUUCUCUGCAUUUUAGAGUUGGGGUUUUUGGUCCGGACUGAUAAUUGGCGUACAUUUGGCUUUUAAUUUGACACUUGGAGAUAAAUAGUUCCUCUUUUUUUUUUUAUAGAUUGAAAUCUCUGGCGCUGUUGGAGUGGCGAAGAUCUACUGCGCCGGAUUCGACAACUGCCGCGGAGACGACUUGGAGCGUUUUGUGUUUGAUGACACGCUUCAAUAUUAAUGGCAAAUUGGC
This 587-nucleotide unclassified non-coding RNA is filed under the name Hevea brasiliensis (rubber tree). The record is from RNAcentral. Lineage: Eukaryota; Viridiplantae; Streptophyta; Magnoliopsida; Malpighiales; Euphorbiaceae.